CUACACCCAUGAUCAACAUGUUAUUACACAUUUGACCCAGUAGGUGGUGCUUAAGCAAUGACAGGUCAUAAUUUGCUCCAGUGUCCCAGGAAUUUUGCAUUUGUAGUUUGUUUCCUUUUCAAGACUGAAGUUAAUAUAAACGGAUGCAGUUUUUUCCCUCUCCCUUUAGAAUGGGUUGUGUGCUGGAGUAACAAAGAGUAAUUGUUAUGCAGCGUGAGGGUCUUGAUUUCCAACAAGGAGUGGUCUGAAGAGGAGCAGACUGACCAGAAUAUACUAUAAAAGCAUUGAUCGCUGGAAUUCUGAAGGCUGGAGACGGAGCAGAGAACACGCAGACUUCAUCAUGAACUUCCAGGGCAUAUUUUAUCAUCUCUGCUUCUUUCACACUGCUCUGAGCCUGCAGCAUGUGAGGUGGUGCACUAUCUCUGAGCAAGAACAGGCCAAGUGUAAUGACAUGAGCGCAGCCUUCACUGAUGCCAACAUCCUUCCCAAUGUAUUGUGUGUUAGAGGCGGCUCAGCCAUUAACUGCACCCAUAUGAUCAAGAACAAUUUGGCAGAUGCGGUGACAUUGGAUGGUGGCACCAUUUAUCAAGCUGGAAAGGAACAUAAUCUGAAACCUGUGGUUGGAGAAGUAUAUGAUCAAGAAAUUGGCACUUCAUACUAUGCAGUGGCUGUUGUCAGAAAAAAUUCCUUCAUUAGCAUCAACAGUUUGAAGGGUGUAAAGUCAUGCCACACAGGCAUCAACAGAACAGUUGGCUGGAAUGUUCCUGUUGGCUACCUCAUUGAUAGUGGUCGCAUGUCAGUGAUGGGAUGCAGUGUUCCAAAAGCUGUUAGUGAAUAUUUCAGUGCAAGCUGUGUUCCUGGAGCCAAUAAUGUAAAUUACCCCAAAUCCCUCUGUCAGCUCUGUAAAGGGGACGCAUCUGGGCAGGACAAAUGUGAAAGAAAUUCAAAAGAGCAGUAUUAUGACUACAGCGGGGCUUUCAGGUGUUUAGCUGAAGGAGCUGGAGAUGUCGCCUUUGUGAAGCACAGCACAGUGUCUGAAAACACAGAUGGCCAGACUCCUUCCUCAUGGGCCCAAGAGCUUCACUCCAGGGACUUCCAGCUUCUCUGCCGCGAUGGCAGCACAGCUGAGGUUACAGACUGGAGGAAAUGCCACCUGGCCCGAGUUCCAGCUCAUGCUGUUGUCGUCAGACCUGACACCGAUGGGUCACUCAUCUUCCAGAUGCUUAAGCAGGGGCAGCAAAGAUUUCAGAUGUUUGACUCUGCAGCUUACAAUGCAAAGAAUCUUCUCUUCAAAGACACCACCACAGAAUUGGUUCCAAUCACAAAUCAGAACUACCAGGCUUGGCUGGGUGAUGAAUAUAUGCAUGCCAUGCAAGGCUUGAGCUGCGAUCCCACCAGGUUACCAGAAAGCCUGCGAUGGUGCGUUGUGCUCACUGAGGAGAUCUGGAAAUGUAGUGAAAUGGCUGUUGCCUUUAAAAAAAAGAACUUGAAACCAGAGAUCCAGUGUGUUUCAGCCAAGACAACAGAACAGUGUAUGGAAAUGAUCCAGAAAAAAGAAAGUGAUGCUGUAAGUGUGGAUGGAGUUGAUAUUUACACAGCUGGAAACAUGUAUGGCCUAGUGCCAGCUGCUGGGGAAAGUUACUCUGCUGAUGACAACAGCAACAUGUACUAUGCUGUGGCAUUAGUGAAACGGAACAAUUCCAAUGCUUUCACCAUCAAUGAUCUGAAAGGGAAAAAGUCCUGCCACACAGGAUAUGGGAGAAUGGCUGGAUGGAACAUCCCUAUUGGUGUUCUAAUUAAAAGGGGCUUUAUUAGGCCCAUGGACUGCAAUAUUCCUCAAGCUGUGAGUGACUUUUUCUCCGCUAGCUGUGUGCCUGCAGCCAAGAUGGACAAUUACCCAUCAAAACUCUGUGAGCUUUGCAUUGGCGAUAAUAGUGGAAACAAUAAAUGCGAUGCAAGUACCCAGGAACGUUAUUAUAGCUACAGUGGAGCCUUCAGGUGUCUGAUGGAGGAUUCUGGUGAUGUGGCCUUUGUCAAGCAUUCAACAGUUUUUGAGAACACCGAUGGUAACAAUGCUGAUUCCUGGGCUCUUCACCUGCAGUCCAGCGACUUCCAGUUACUGUGUCCAAAUGGAGCCCGUGCUGAAAUCACUCAGUUUGCUCAGUGUCACUUGGCUCAGGUGCCUGCCCAGGUUGUCAUGGUCCACCCAGACACCAACAUUUUUGCUGUAUAUGGACUACUGGACAAAGCUCAGGAUUUCUUUGGAAAUGACAGCAAUGGAAAUGGAUUCAAAAUGUUUGAUUCCUCAGAUUUCCUAGGAACAGAUUUGAUCUUUAAAGAUUCCACCGUUAAGAUUGUACCAGUAGGAGAGAAAACAACCUAUGCAGAAUGGCUGGGAAGUGAAUACAUAGAUUCUCUUAAAGGGAUGCAAUCACCACAGUGCUCUGGGGCAGCUGCAAUAUCCAUGAACAUCAUUGUGCUGCCGGCGGCUAGUGUCCUUCUGAUUAGAUUCUACUCGUGAUCAUUAGGCCGUUCCUUGGAUUAACAGAUAUUCAGCAUAAUAAACUGAAAUACUGUGACCAAUGCCAGAUGCUUCAGAGGGAAUGACCAGAACAGGGGAAGUAUCAAGUGAUCCAUCCCCUGUUGUCCACGCCUAGCAUCUGUAAGUCCGAGGUGUAGGAACACAGGGUUGCAUCCCUAACCAUCAUGGCAAAUAGCCAUUGAUGGACCUAUCCUCUAUAAACUUAUCUAAUUCUUUUUUGAAGCCUGUUAUUGUCUUGGUCUUCACAACAUCCCCUGACAACAAGUUACACAGAUUGACUGUGUGUUGUGUGAAGAAGUGCUUCCUUUUGUUUGUUUUAAACCUGCUGCAUAUUAAUUUCAUUGGGAGAGCUCCUGCUUCUUGUGGUCUGCAUGUCUUUCUGUACAAGAAAUCUGUAGUAUAAACAGACAACUGCAAUAUGUAUGUGCAUUUGUGUAAUUAAUAUUUAGUUGCCAGGUCAGUGUGCCUGCUUCUUAAGGGAUCCCCUAUUUUAACACUAAUAAAGAAUGUUUUUAAAAACA
This is an RNA transcript of Chrysemys picta bellii (western painted turtle), 3063 nucleotides long. It is a transcript of the gene named melanotransferrin, with no coding region annotated. NCBI's taxonomy places the organism in Eukaryota, Metazoa, Chordata, Testudines, Emydidae. The record is from RefSeq and is a predicted model, not a curated record.